GUAGUCUGCAACUCGACUACAUGAAGCUGGAAUCGCUAGUAAUCGCGAAUCAGAAUGUCGCGGUGAAUACGUUCCCGGGUCUUGUACACACCGCCCGUCACACCAUGGGAGUCAGUAACGCCCGAAGCCGGUGACCCAACCAGUUCAGGAGGGAGCCGUCGAAGGUGGGACCGAUAACUGGGGUGAAGUCGUAACAAGGUACC
RNAcentral lists this ribosomal RNA (203 nucleotides) under uncultured bacterium. RNAcentral's name for it is "partial 16S ribosomal RNA". It matches the Rfam family "Bacterial small subunit ribosomal RNA", at positions 1300 to 1500 of the family's 1533-position model. The record is from RNAcentral.